This is a long non-coding RNA of Hevea brasiliensis (rubber tree), 373 nucleotides long. RefSeq lists it as uncharacterized. The record is from RefSeq and is a predicted model, not a curated record. NCBI's taxonomy places the organism in Eukaryota, Viridiplantae, Streptophyta, Magnoliopsida, Malpighiales, Euphorbiaceae. The transcript has 3 exons.
GCUGGAAUAAGAGAGAAAGAGAGAGAAAAGGAAAAGAAAGAAAGAAAGGAAGAAGGAGAAGGAGAUGAACAGUAGCAGAAAAAGGGAUUCAGCAGGGCAGCAUGUUUCUCUUCCGUCCAGGGGAAAUCUUGAAGAAUAACAAGCUCAAGGUUGGUUUCAAAAAGGUACUGAAGGUAAAAACCAGUAGACUAUCGACUGAGAUUUUUGGAGUCCAGAUCUGCAGAAGUGUUAGAAGAGUUCAAGAUUGUCACCUCCUCAGCAAUACAUGUAGAUAGGGCUCAUUUUAUACAUGUUAUGUAUAUUGUUCAUUCCUAGCACAUUGUAAAUUAUUUGUAUAUCUUGUACAAAAUAAACUCAUUUAAUUAACCUAUGA